UCCCCUGUAGCUCAAUUGGUAGAGCGGACGGCUGUUAACCGUCAGGUUCUUGGUUCGAGUCCAAGUGGGGGAG
RNAcentral lists this transfer RNA (73 nucleotides) under Planctomycetota bacterium. Its description in RNAcentral is "tRNA-Asn". It matches the Rfam family "tRNA". From Rfam's summary of the family: Transfer RNA (tRNA) molecules are approximately 80 nucleotides in length. Their secondary structure includes four short double-helical elements and three loops (D, anti-codon, and T loops). Further hydrogen bonds mediate the characteristic L-shaped molecular structure. tRNAs have two regions of fundamental functional importance: the anti-codon, which is responsible for specific mRNA codon recognition, and the 3' end, to which the tRNAs corresponding amino acid is attached (by aminoacyl-tRNA synthetases). tRNAs cope with the degeneracy of the genetic code in two manners: having more than one tRNA (with a specific anti-codon) for a particular amino acid; and 'wobble' base-pairing, i.e. permitting non-standard base-pairing at the 3rd anti-codon position. RNAcentral also lists the same sequence under 1 other name. The record is from RNAcentral. Lineage: Bacteria; Pseudomonadati; Planctomycetota.